GACGAACGCUGGCGGCGUGCCUAAUACAUGCAAGUCGAACGAAGCUGUUUUAACUGGUGCUUGCACCGACUUAAACAACUGAGUGGCGAACGGGUGAGUAACACGUGGGUAACCUGCCCCAAAGCGGGGGAUAACAUUUGGAAACAGAUGCUAAUACCGCAUAACCACAGAAACCACAUGGUCUCUGUGUCAAAGAUGGUUUCGGCUAUCACUUUGGGAUGGACCCGCGGCGUAUUAGCUAGUUGGUAAGGUAAUGGCUUACCAAGGCAAUGAUACGUAGCCGAACUGAGAGGUUGAUCGGCCACAUUGGGACUGAGACACGGCCCAAACUCCUACGGGAGUCAGCAGUAGGGAAUCUUCCACAAUGGGGGCAACCCUGAUCCAGCGAUGCCGCGUGGGUGAAGAAGGCCUUCGGGUUGUAAAGCCCUUUAGGCUGGGGAGAAGAAUGUAGGCUGAAUAAUCCUAUAUUUUGACGGUACCAGCAGAAUAAGCACCGGCAAACUCUGUGCCAGCCGCCGCCGUAA
This 524-nucleotide ribosomal RNA is filed under the name uncultured bacterium. RNAcentral describes it as "partial 16S ribosomal RNA". It matches the Rfam family "Bacterial small subunit ribosomal RNA", at positions 28 to 523 of the family's 1533-position model. The record is from RNAcentral.